Molecule: ribosomal RNA, 478 nt
Filed under: uncultured bacterium
Lineage: Bacteria
Description: partial 16S ribosomal RNA
Rfam family: Bacterial small subunit ribosomal RNA
Source: RNAcentral
GACGAACGCUGGCGGCGUGCUUAACACAUGCAAGUCGAACGGUAAGGCCCUUCGGGGUACACGAGUGGCGAACGGGUGAGUAACACGUGGGUGAUCUGCCCUGCACUUCGGGAUAAGCCUGGGAAACUGGGUCUAAUACCGGAUAGGACCACUGCCUGCAUGGGUGGUGGUGGAAAGCUUUUGCGGUGUGGGAUGGGCCCGCGGCCUAUCAGCUUGGUGGUGGGGGUAUGGCCUACCAAGGCGACGACGGGUAGCCGGCCUGAGAGGGUGACCGGCCACACUGGGACUGAGAUACGGCCCAGACUCCUACGGGAGGCAGCAGUGGGGAAUAUUGCACAGUGGGCGCAAGCCUGAUGCAGCGACGCCGCGUGAGGGAUGACGGCCUUCGGGUUGUAAACCUCUUUCAGCACCGACGAAGCGCAAGUGACGGUAGGUGCAGAAGAAGGACCGGCCAACUACGUGCCAGCCGCCGCAGUAA